UAUAUUUUUAGAUUGCAUAAAAAUAUUGCUCUCUUACAAAAAUAUGGAUUCUCUUGCGGUAAGAGUAUUGUCCCGCGUAGGUGGCUAGGAUUCCUCGAAAUUAGUGCUUUAUCGCUCCUCAUUGGAAAUCGUCUACAUCCUAGUUAACAAGGACUCAACAAAAGGGAAAGAAACACUGAGUCCAGACCAGGGAGACAGUCAUCAGAGGUAGAGAGACCGACAGGGCAGCAGACUAGGCUGCA
Molecule: unclassified non-coding RNA, 242 nt
Filed under: Hevea brasiliensis (rubber tree)
Lineage: Eukaryota; Viridiplantae; Streptophyta; Magnoliopsida; Malpighiales; Euphorbiaceae
Source: RNAcentral